GUGGGGAAUUUUGGACAAUGGGCGCAAGCCUGAUCCAGCCAUGCCGCGUGCAGGAUGAAGGCCUUCGGGUUGUAAACUGCUUUUGUACGGAACGAAAAGACUUCUUCUAAUACAGGAGGUCCAUGACGGUACCGUAAGAAUAAGCACCGGCUAACUACGUGCCAGCAGCCGCGGUAAUACGUAGGGUGCAAGCGUUAAUCGGAAUUACUGGGCGUAAAGCGUGCGCAGGCGGUUAUAUAAGACAGAUGUGAAAUCCCCGGGCUCAACCUGGGAACUGCAUUUGUGACUGCAAGGCUGGAGUGCGGCAGAGGGGGAUGGAAUUCCGCGUGUAGCAGUGAAAUGCGUAGAUAUGCGGAGGAACACCGAUGGCGAAGGCAAUCCCCUGGGCCUGCACUGACGCUCAUGCACGAAAGCGUGGGGAGCAAACAGGAUUAGAAACCCUGGUAGUCC
This 450-nucleotide ribosomal RNA is filed under the name uncultured bacterium. RNAcentral's name for it is "partial 16S ribosomal RNA". It matches the Rfam family "Bacterial small subunit ribosomal RNA", at positions 354 to 796 of the family's 1533-position model. The record is from RNAcentral.